CAGAAAGUUAGUCUAAUCAAGACR
Molecule: transfer RNA, 24 nt
Filed under: Ceblepyris caesius
Lineage: Eukaryota; Metazoa; Chordata; Aves; Passeriformes; Campephagidae
Description: Coracina caesia partial tRNA-Arg
Source: RNAcentral